This 139-nucleotide unclassified non-coding RNA is filed under the name soil metagenome. RNAcentral's name for it is "partial internal transcribed spacer 1". The record is from RNAcentral.
CAUUCAGUAGCCCAGCUACUUGUUUACACCCUCGUCUUUUUGCGUACUUAUCGUUUCCUCGGCGGGCUUGCCUGCCGGUUGGACAACUUUAUAACCUUUUUAAAUCUUCAAUCAGCGUCUGAAUAAUAUACAAUAAUUA